Molecule: ribosomal RNA, 1470 nt
Filed under: metagenome
Description: bacterial SSU rRNA
Rfam family: Bacterial small subunit ribosomal RNA
Source: RNAcentral
AGAGUUUGAUCCUGGCUCAGGACGAACGCUGGCGGCACGCUUAACACAUGCAAGUCGAACGAGAGAAGAGGAGCUUGCUUUUCUGAUCUAGUGGCGGACGGGUGAGUAACACGUGAGCAAUCUGCCUUUCAGAGGGGGAUACCGAUUGGAAACGAUCGUUAAUACCGCAUAACAUAAUUGAACCGCAUGAUUUGAUUAUCAAAGAUUUAUCGCUGAAAGAUGAGCUCGCGUCUGAUUAGCUAGUUGGUAAGGUAACGGCUUACCAAGGCGACGAUCAGUAGCCGGACUGAGAGGUUGAUCGGCCACAUUGGGACUGAGACACGGCCCAGACUCCUACGGGAGGCAGCAGUGGGGAAUAUUGCACAAUGGAGGAAACUCUGAUGCAGCGAUGCCGCGUGAGGGAAGAAGGUUUUAGGAUUGUAAACCUCUGUCUUCAGGGACGAAAAAAGACGGUACCUGAGGAGGAAGCUCCGGCUAACUACGUGCCAGCAGCCGCGGUAAUACGUAGGGAGCGAGCGUUGUCCGGAAUUACUGGGUGUAAAGGGAGCGUAGGCGGGAUCGCAAGUCAGAUGUGAAAACUAUGGGCUUAACCCAUAAACUGCAUUUGAAACUGUGGUUCUUGAGUGAAGUAGAGGUAAGCGGAAUUCCUAGUGUAGCGGUGAAAUGCGUAGAUAUUAGGAGGAACAUCAGUGGCGAAGGCGGCUUACUGGGCUUUAACUGACGCUGAGGCUCGAAAGCGUGGGGAGCAAACAGGAUUAGAUGCCCUGGUAGUCCACGCCGUAAACGAUGAUUACUAGGUGUGGGGGGACUGACCCCUUCCGUGCCGCAGCAAACGCAAUAAGUAAUCCACCUGGGGAGUACGACCGCAAGGUUGAAACUCAAAGGAAUUGACGGGGGCCCGCACAAGCAGUGGAGUAUGUGGAUUAAUUCGAAGCAACGCGAAGAACCUUACCAGGUCUUGACAUCGUAUGCAUAGCUCAGAGAUGAGUGAAAUCUCUUCGGAGACAUAUAGACAGGUGGUGCAUGGUUGUCGUCAGCUCGUGUCGUGAGAUGUUGGGUUAAGUCCCGCAACGAGCGCAACCCUUACUGUUAGUUGCUACGCAAGAGCACUCUAGCAGGACUGCCGUUGACAAAACGGAGGAAGGUGGGGAUGACGUCAAAUCAUCAUGCCCCUUAUGACCUGGGCCUCACACGUACUACAAUGGCUGUCAACAGAGGGAAGCAAAGCCGCGAGGUGGAGCGAACCCCUAAAAGCAGUCUUAGUUCGGAUUGUAGGCUGCAACCCGCCUACAUGAAGUCGGAAUUGCUAGUAAUCGCAGAUCAGCAUGCUGCGGUGAAUACGUUCCCGGGCCUUGUACACACCGCCCGUCACGCCAUGGGAGUCGGUAACACCCGAAGCCUGUAGUCUAACCGCAAGGAGGACGCAGUCGAAGGUGGGAUUGAUGACUGGGGUGAAGUCGUAACAAGGUA